AGCUCUGCAGUAUAAGUUACACGGGAUUGCAAAUCUCGAGAAGGAGAAUAGGCUUCUCCCGGGGCUU
RNAcentral lists this transfer RNA (67 nucleotides) under Neotrygon kuhlii (spotted stingray). RNAcentral describes it as "tRNA-Cys". The record is from RNAcentral. RNAcentral also lists the same sequence under 1 other name. Lineage: Eukaryota; Metazoa; Chordata; Chondrichthyes; Myliobatiformes; Dasyatidae.